CUGAGAUCUGGGAUUUCAGCCAUGUUUGAUUCAGGGAGAUGGCACAAGUGAAAUGUACUUUCCCAAUCCAUAUCCGUAACUUCAGCCUCAAGUCCUUCAAGAGCCUUGCUUGCUACCAGUUCUUUAAACCUUUGUUCCAUACAUUUCUUGUAAUGUUCUUUCGUUAACCUCUCAACAGAGUCCAUAAAAUCAUGUGGAAUCCCAUGGUUCAUCACCUAAACACACGCACACACAUCAGUACAAUAUUUACAAGAAAAAUGCAGAGUAAACUAAAAACAGAGUAUGAAGUUUUUUUCUUUUUCUUUUGGUACCUCAAAAAAUCCCCAGUUUUCACAGGCAUCCUUGAUUUGCUCCAUGAUUCUUGAUCUCUCAUCACCAUUAAGCUUCUCUAAGUUGAUCACUGGGAAAGUAGCCAUUUCUCUUACAAACCCUUUUUUGGGGGGGGACCUAAAAGAUGUUGUCUCAAAGUCUCCACU
Molecule: long non-coding RNA, 476 nt
Filed under: Gossypium raimondii (Peruvian cotton)
Lineage: Eukaryota; Viridiplantae; Streptophyta; Magnoliopsida; Malvales; Malvaceae
Description: long non-coding RNA (GRAI_LNC002544)
Source: RNAcentral